GUAGAUUAGAGGUUGCUGAGUGCUGGAGUUGGGCUGAACUGCGGGCAAUAACGACAGUGUGUGGCUUUCUUUCAGGAGUGAGGAAAACACUCUACACCUGACCACGUGGUGGUUGAACAUCAGUAUUUGUUGAGUGCACUCAGCGGGGAGUUGAGUGAAGCCACCAUAGCACAUACAGAACCUUACAAUGCUCAAGGGACAUUUCAAAAGGGACACUCCUGCCAUCUGACCAAGCCCCAAGAACAUGACUGCAUGGAUUCAUCAUGCUGUGUGAUUUGAGUCUCAUGUAACAAGAAUCCCUCUUAAGGUUUUCCUUCCAGAACUGACAUUGUGCUGGAAGCAUGUGCU
This 348-nucleotide long non-coding RNA is filed under the name Fukomys damarensis (Damara mole-rat). RNAcentral's name for it is "lncRNA (ENSFDAG00000026520.1)". Lineage: Eukaryota; Metazoa; Chordata; Mammalia; Rodentia; Bathyergidae. The record is from RNAcentral.